UGACAGGUACAGGUUGGUAAGGUACGCAGUCAGGUAGCCAAUAGGACUUUUUCCUCCUGUCAUGCAGAAGCGUUCGAUUGUUAAGCCAUAGUGAUUAAUGCUGUUUAUGAGCCUCACUCCCACUUGGGCAUGGUUGUUAGUCAUCAGAACAAUGUCAAAUCGUUCUUCAUCAUCAGGGUACAGUUCGAGAAGCCUGGCAUUGACAUGUUCUAGUGCCUUGACGAAGUGAAACGCCGGUCCGGGCUUCAGGGUGACGUUCUCGUUCUCCUGCUGGUACUCCACGUACUUCUCCACCCCUUGCUCCUCGUAGAUCCGCCGCUCCUCCACCAGGUCGAAGAGGGCUCGGGACGAGACGGCCACCGUGAUGGCAUGCUGAGGCUUGGGCGGCCGCGGUCUCUUGGUGACCAGGUUAUCGUAGAAGGCCUUGGCCGCUUCCCAGUCCCGCUCGGCUUCCUGCAGCCGGCUCUCCUCGGCGCUCCCGGGCUGCGGCGCGUCCGGCCCGGAGCCACUCAUGGUGCCGGGGGACGGGGCGCGCCUUACGGGCGCGGCCAGAGCUCAGCACCGGGAAGCGGUGGCUUUCCCUUUCGCUCCAGCCCAGCAGCACCCGCCCCUGGGGCAGCGGGGACAGAGAGCGUCCGCGCCCUACUUGAUGUUAGGCAACACCCGCCGGCGCUGAUCUGAUCUACAGAUGAGAUUUUAUCUGCGGCACUUAGAGAUUUAUUUAUUAACGUUGGCUAGAAGAAGUUUGUGGUGAAAAAAGAAAAAAAAGAUAAAAAAUACGGUAAUAAGGGUCCGGUUGGCCAUGGAGCAGCCUGGGGUCCAUGCAGCUCUUAGGAAUGGUCAUUUAAACGAUAGCAUUUGGCUUGCGUGUAGUGAGCUCAAUGAGCUGUCAUUCUGGCAGGUGGACUGAUGCUAAAAAACAGGAUCCCGCAUAGGGACACUUACAUAACAUGGCCUACUUAUCUCAUGCAUACCGCUUGGAAAUGCUCCCGGCCUAUCUGAACCGCUGCAGCGCUCCCCGUGCUGAUGGGCCAGAGGUGGUGGUGGGGAAGGAGGCAGUUCUGCUGCCUGGGCUCAGUGCAUUCACAGCCGCUGUUGACAAGCGACGACCCCACAGUGUCAGCACACAGCUCAGUUCAGAGGAGUUGAAGGCAGACCCUAAACGCACCUCAGCCCCUUGCUGUUGUGUAAUCUUCAGCAAAUCAUGUGCUUUCUGCCUCUGUCCAUCCCCAAAAGGCGUUUGCUGCUUUUGCCUGCUUUUUUUUUUUUUUCUUCUAAACAGAAUUUCCUGAUGCAAGGAAGCUUAUAUGAUCAUACCAUCUGUCCAUCGUUCCCCAGUGAUGCCCAGUUCCAGAUGAAUUUGACAGAAGGAUAAAGAUCUCAAAGAGAUUUAAAUUCUCCAAACGUUUAAUGCCCAUCAGCAGCAGCCUCCAGGAAAAGCCUGUACUGCAAAUGCAGUAUAUUAAUCUGCUUGUUCUUGUGCUACAUAACAGUGAAUGAAUGCUGCCUGGCUGCCUGCCUUCUCCAGUCAGCCCUAUUGCCCAUGGUCCCAUUGAGCACAGGGGGUCUGGAGCGGUAGGAGCUUUGUGGAAGGAAGGAGCUCAAAGUGUGUUAUUAAUGGAAAAAAAAAAAGAAGCAAACCUACACUUCUAUCUGGAAGGAUGUGAAAUAUUUCCAAACAUUUAACAUACUGAGACCAGAAGUAAGGAAAAGACUCACUAUGGAAGGACCUUUUCUGCCUUUAAAUUUGGUGUUCCACUCCUCCGUAACACCGAGAUGAUCAGAGCCCUGGCAGGGCAGCGGUCUGUCCAACUGCCAGCAGAGAAGCUCUGACCUGACAGCAGACUCAAUCUUCUGGUCUGAUGGACGAUGGUGGUGCCAGCACAUGUGUCUUCUGGAAGAUAGGAAUGUGGAUCUCACACAGCAGUAGGACUUUUUUUCCCUUUACAAUGGCCGAGCAGAGCAGCAGCAGUGCCAUUGAUUCCUGCUGUUGCCGCCCUGCUGAACGCCAAGACAGAUAAACUGUGGGAUGUUCUUAGCAGCUCCUCCAUGGGGUAGUAAGAUAAACAUGAGAAACAUAAGGAGAUAUUAAAGAGUAGAUUAUAAUCCAUUUUCAGGAAACAGCAUUUUCUCCAGCAAGAGAGACUGAACUUUAUCAAAGGGGAAACUUCUCCAGGAGGACUUGCCAAAGUAAAUCUCUUUGAUGCAAAUGGUUUAAGCAAAGACAUUCACCUUAAUCUACUGUGUGGUGACCUGCUCUUCUGAUACAAAGAAUAAUUAUGGGUGUUUUCGGAAUUGCUGUGGUCUGCAAAUCCUCCAAAUCUAAGUUCUUAAUGUUCCCGCUUCACCACUCUGAUCUUGGUCACCCACAUUUCUUGUAAUUUUGGCCUUGCUUAAUGCCUUUAGGUGUUGUUACUUGGAAAGACUUCACUGCCUUUUGAAGGACAGAUCAAAAAAUAACAAGCUUUUUUUUUUUUUUACCUUUACAUUUAAUUGUUGUGCCUGGGUCUAAUAAAGUGAAUGACCCACAAAUAACUUGAUCGAAGUGCAGAACACAGUGGAGUGGAGAAGACGAGUGUUUAGCUGUUGAAAUCAAUACUUUCAUGCAGAUUGAUGUCUGUGCCAGUUUGCCAUCCCGGACGUUUUCAGUUUAGUUUAUUUGUGUUACAGUAGUAGUGACAAUGUAGUUAAAUAUAGCCUCUGAAAACAGGAUCUCUGCUUGUUUCAUUUGUAUUCUACUGUUCUUUCAUUAAACAUUUCUUCAUCUUUGCAGAGCCAAAUUCUUACAAUAAUAAAUCAGAGACACCUAAAGUUCUUGCCAAGUCAAAUAUCUACAGUUUCUGGCAAUUAUGUAAUUUCCAGAUUUGCUACAAUGACUCUUGCCGAUAAGUCAAUUGUCAUAAAAAGAAAUGUUCCAGACCAAUCUUUAUUAGGGUGUCCUUCACUGAUCUGUGUAAAAUAAUCCCCCUCCAGCCCCACUUUCUUUUAGAAAAGAGAAACAUAAUUACAGCUUUUUCCCUUGCUAUGAAUGACUCUUCAUCAUAACAAUUUAUAUCUGGAAAAUGUCACAAGAAAAUGUGAAAAAGGUAAGUUUAAACCAAAGAAAUCAGGAACUGCUGUUAUUAAUAGAACAGCUCAGAAAUGUUUCCCAUGAUGUGUUAUAAUGGCUCUGUCUUAUAAUAAAAUUUAACAGUGAUGUAUUUCCCUUGUUCUCAAGUUGAUUUUGUAUUAGAAGUCCAGACAAAAGUAAUUUGUAGCAAAGGUCCCUGAUCCAAUGUCUGUAUAUGGAAAAGACUCAAAGGACUUUGUGCCCAUUUAAAAGUCCUUUAAAAUGAUUAAUGGCUAAAUGCAUUACAAAUUAUCAAGUAUUUCACACUGACAAAACAGAGAACUUAUUCUGAAUUUG
RNAcentral lists this long non-coding RNA (3406 nucleotides) under Gallus gallus (chicken). Lineage: Eukaryota; Metazoa; Chordata; Aves; Galliformes; Phasianidae. The record is from RNAcentral.